UUGCUGCCACGAUCCACUGAGAUCCAGCCCCACGUCACACGGAUUCGU
RNAcentral lists this ribosomal RNA (48 nucleotides) under Imperata cylindrica. RNAcentral's name for it is "17S ribosomal RNA". The record is from RNAcentral. Lineage: Eukaryota; Viridiplantae; Streptophyta; Magnoliopsida; Poales; Poaceae.